CAUCUAAAAAUAUAGAUGUUAUUAUGACUUGAAAUUUUUUUUAAAGAAAUUAUUAAAUAAAUGACUAAAAAUUAAAAAGUUUUUUCUUACUACAGAAAGAUAAUUAAUACAUGUUUUUAACGUUGUCUAAAAAUGCAAAAAUUAAAAAAAAAAUUACAGUCAAAUGAUUAUUUGAUCAAUUGUUUUGAGCAUUAUUAUAUCUUCUUGAUUCACCCACGUAAAUACAAUUACGGAAUUACAACUUGAGUCAAAUGAGUAUUAGUAGUAUGCAAUAAUACAGUAUUUAAUUUAGGUAUUAUUAGCGUAAAACAGUCUUUAAUAGUGGUUUUGUUAAAUUAAAAUGUUAAGCUCUACAUAUGAAUUGACCUAUAUUGAAAAAGUUUGAAAAGAUUAUUGUCAAUGAAAUUAUGAUCGAUCUUCUAUUCAGUUGAUUUAUCAUUUGUUGAUAAAUAAAAAAAAACUUCGAUCAAAAAAAUGUUUCAGAGGUUACAGAAUUUAGGAAAACGCAUUUUUGUUACCACAUCUGUUAUAACUUCAUAAUGGUUAUUAUUUACAUGAUUGCCAAGAAUUUUCAGAGUAUACAUAUAAGGAGGUUUCUAAGAAUUCUGCUGCGGCAAAUAAUUCAUGAAACUCUGCAUACGUGGCUACGAAUUAAAACAAAAUAAUGCACAUUAUUUUGCAGAAUAUAAUGUUAAUAUUUGUUAAUUCAUUUUUUUUCCUUUUUUAUUUAAAAGCGUAUUCAAUACAUCUGUACUAUUACAGCGUUAUUAAAUGUUACUUAAAAAUAUUUAUUAAAAAUAAUUUGUUGAUAAAUCUUAGUCUUAUAUA
Long non-coding RNA from Daktulosphaira vitifoliae (grape phylloxera), 828 nucleotides. RefSeq lists it as uncharacterized. NCBI's taxonomy places the organism in Eukaryota, Metazoa, Arthropoda, Insecta, Hemiptera, Phylloxeridae. The record is from RefSeq and is a predicted model, not a curated record. The transcript is spliced from 4 exons.